RNAcentral lists this ribosomal RNA (414 nucleotides) under uncultured Bacteroidales bacterium. Its description in RNAcentral is "bacterial SSU rRNA". It matches the Rfam family "Bacterial small subunit ribosomal RNA", at positions 360 to 771 of the family's 1533-position model. The record is from RNAcentral. Lineage: Bacteria; Pseudomonadati; Bacteroidota; Bacteroidia; Bacteroidales.
AAUAUUGGUCAAUGGGCGGAAGCCUGAACCAGCCAUCCCGCGUGCAGGAAGACGGCGCUAUGCGUUGUAAACUGCUUUUCCAGGGGAAGAAAACCCGCGACGAGUCGUGGUUUGCCGGUACCCUGGGAAUAAGCAUCGGCUAACUCCGUGCCAGCAGCCGCGGUAAUACGGAGGAUGCGAGCGUUAUCCGGAUUUAUUGGGUUUAAAGGGUGCGUAGGCGGAUUAUUAAGUCAGUGGUGAAAACCUUCAGCUUAACUGGAGACUUGCCAUUGAUACUGAUAGUCUUGAGUACGGUCAAGGUAGGCGGAAUGUGUAAUGUAGCGGUGAAAUGCUUAGAUAUUACACAGAACACCGAUUGCGAAGGCAGCUUACUGGGCCAUUACUGACGCUGAUGCACGAAAGCGUGGGGAGCGA